This 460-nucleotide ribosomal RNA is filed under the name uncultured bacterium. RNAcentral describes it as "partial 16S ribosomal RNA". It matches the Rfam family "Bacterial small subunit ribosomal RNA", at positions 338 to 795 of the family's 1533-position model. The record is from RNAcentral.
CCUACGGGUGGCAGCAGUGAGGAAUAUUGGUCAAUGGGCGUAAGCCUGAACCAGCCAAGUCGCGUGAGGGAUGAAGGUUCUAUGGAUCGUAAACCUCUUUUAUAAGGGAAUAAAGUGCGGGACGUGUCCCGUUUUGUAUGUACCUUAUGAAUAAGGAUCGGCUAACUCCGUGCCAGCAGUCGCGGUAAUACGGAGGAUUCGAGCGUUAUCCGGAUUUAUUGGGUUUAAAGGGUGCGUAGGCGGCCUUUCAAGUCAGCGGUGAAAGUCUGUGGCUCAACCAUAGAAUUGCAGUGGAAACUGGGAGGCUUGAGUAUGUUAGAGGCAGGCGGAAUGCGUGGUGUAGCGGUGAAAUGCGUAGAUAUCACGCAGAACCCCAGUUGCGAAGGCGGCCUGCUGGGCCAUGACUGACGCUGAUGCACGAAAGCGUGGGGAUCAAACAGGAUUAGAUACCCUAGUAGUC